Molecule: unclassified non-coding RNA, 159 nt
Organism: Macaca mulatta (Rhesus monkey)
Lineage: Eukaryota; Metazoa; Chordata; Mammalia; Primates; Cercopithecidae
Rfam family: Metazoan signal recognition particle RNA
About the family: The signal recognition particle (SRP) is a universally conserved ribonucleoprotein.
Source: Ensembl
CUUGGGUAUAGUGGUGCAUGCCUGUAAUCCCAGCUAUUUGGGAAGUUGAAGCAGGAAGAUCACUCGGGCCCAGGAGUUCAAGGCUAUAGUGUGCUAUGAUCGCACCUGUGAAUAGCCACUGCACUCCAGCCUGGGCAACAUAGUGAGACCCUGCCUCUU